Molecule: ribosomal RNA, 253 nt
Filed under: uncultured bacterium
Lineage: Bacteria
Description: partial 16S ribosomal RNA
Rfam family: Bacterial small subunit ribosomal RNA
Source: RNAcentral
UACAGAGGUCCCAAGCGUUGUUCGGAUUCAUUGGGCGUAAAGGGUGCGUAGGCGGCGCGGUAAGUCGGGUGUGAAAUCUCGGAGCUUAACUCCGAAACUGCAUUCGAUACUGCCGUGCUUGAGGACUGGAGAGGAGACUGGAAUUUACGGUGUAGCGGUGAAAUGCGUAGAUAUCGGGAGGAACACCAGUAGCGAAGGCGGCACUCUGGGCCGGUACUGACGCUGAGGAGCGAAAGCGUGGGGAGCGAACAGG